UAGUCAUAUGCUUGUCUCAAAGAUUAACCCUUGCAUGUCUAAGUAUAAGCAAUCUAUACAGUGAAACUGCGAAGGGCUCAUUAAAUCAGUUAUCGUUUAUUUGAUAGUACCUUACUACUUGGAUAACCGUGGUAAUUCUAGAGCUAAUACAUGCUAAAAACCCCGACUUCGGAAGGGGUGUAUUUAUUAAAUAAAAAACCAAUGCUCUUCGGGGCUCCUUGGUGAUUCAUAAUAACUUAACAAAUCGCAGGGCCUUGUGCCGGCGAUGGUUCAUUCAAAUUUCUGCCCUAUCAACUUUCGAUGGUAGGAUAGUGGCCUACCAUGGUUUCAACGGGUAACGGGGAAUUAGGGUUCUAUUCCGGAAAGGGAGCCUGAAAAACGGCUACCACAUCCAAGGAAGGCAGCAGGCGCGCAAAUUACCCAAUCCCGACACGGGGAGGUAGUGACAAUAAAUACUGAUACAGGGCUCUUUUGAGUCUUGUAAUUGGAAUGAGUACAAUUUAAAUCCCUUAACGAGGAACAAUU
RNAcentral lists this ribosomal RNA (525 nucleotides) under uncultured microeukaryote. RNAcentral describes it as "SSU rRNA". It matches the Rfam family "Eukaryotic small subunit ribosomal RNA", at positions 21 to 549 of the family's 1831-position model. The record is from RNAcentral.